CCUACGGGAGGCAGCAGUGAGGAAUAUUGGUCAAUGGACGAGAGUCUGAACCAGCCAAGUAGCGUGAAGGAUGACUGCCCUAUGGGUUGUAAACUUCUUUUAUAAAGGAAUAAAACGAGGCACGUGUGCCUUUUUGCAUGUACUUUAUGAAUACGGAUCGGCUAACUCCGUGCCAGCAGCCGCGGUAAUACGGAGGAUCCGAGCGUUAUCCGGAUUUGUUGGGUUUAAAGGGAGCGUAGAUGGGUUGUUAAGUCAGUUGUGAAAGUUUGCGGCUCAACCGUAAAAUUGCAAUUGAUACUGGCAGUCUUGAGUACAGUUGAGGUAGGCGGAAUUCGUGGUGUAGCGGUGAAAUGCUUAGAUAUCACGAAGAACCCCGAUUGCGAAGGCAGCUUACUAAACUGUGACUGACAUUGAUGCUCGAAAGUGUGGGUAUCAAACAGGAUUAGAUACCCGAGUAGUC
Molecule: ribosomal RNA, 460 nt
Filed under: uncultured bacterium
Lineage: Bacteria
Description: partial 16S ribosomal RNA
Rfam family: Bacterial small subunit ribosomal RNA
Source: RNAcentral